GGAUGAGCCCGCGGCCUAUCAGCUUGUUGGUGAGGUUACGGCUCACCAAGGCGACGACGGGUAGCCGGCCUGAGAGGGUGACCGGCCACACUGGGACUGAGAUACGGCCCAGACUCCUACGGGAGGCAGCAGUGGGGAAUAUUGCACAAUGGGCGCAAGCCUGAUGCAGCGACGCCGCGUGGGGGAUGACGGCCUUCGGGUUGUAAACCUCUUUCAGUGGGGACGAAGCGCAAGUGACGGUACCUACAGAAGAAGGACCGGCCAACUACGUGACAGCAGCCGCGGCCG
Molecule: ribosomal RNA, 288 nt
Filed under: uncultured Mycobacterium sp.
Lineage: Bacteria; Bacillati; Actinomycetota; Actinomycetes; Mycobacteriales; Mycobacteriaceae
Description: partial 16S ribosomal RNA
Rfam family: Bacterial small subunit ribosomal RNA
Source: RNAcentral